This 274-nucleotide ribosomal RNA is filed under the name uncultured bacterium. RNAcentral describes it as "partial 16S ribosomal RNA". It matches the Rfam family "Bacterial small subunit ribosomal RNA", at positions 523 to 796 of the family's 1533-position model. The record is from RNAcentral.
AUACGGAGGGUGCAAGCGUUAAUGGGAAUUACUGGGCGUAAAGCGCGCGUAGGCGGAUAUUUAAGUCUCAUGUGAAAGCCCUGGGCUCAACCUGGGAACUGCAUGGGAUACUGGGUAUCUAGAAUACAGUAGAGGGUAGUGGAAUUUCAGGUGUAGCGGUGAAAUGCGUAGAGAUCUGAAGGAACAUCAGUGGCGAAGGCGACUACCUGGACUGAUAUUGACGCUGAGGUGCGAAAGCGUGGGGAGCAAACGGGAUUAGAAACCCCAGUAGUCC